CCUGGUGACUAUACUGACGGGGAAACGCCUGAUCCCAUUCCGAACUCAGUAGCUAAGCCCGACCGGCCGAUGAUAGUCUUAUGGGCGAAAGUAGGUGAAUGCCAGGA
RNAcentral lists this ribosomal RNA (107 nucleotides) under Phycisphaerae bacterium. The record is from RNAcentral. Lineage: Bacteria; Pseudomonadati; Planctomycetota; Phycisphaerae.